Columba livia (rock pigeon) is the source of this 7734-nucleotide long non-coding RNA. RefSeq lists it as uncharacterized. Lineage: Eukaryota; Metazoa; Chordata; Aves; Columbiformes; Columbidae. The record is from RefSeq and is a predicted model, not a curated record. The transcript has 3 exons.
CGAAGGCAUGAUUUUUGGUUGAUAAAUCCCUGUUACCUUAAGGAAGGCGUUCCUGUUGUUGUCUGGAGGAGAGGACAAGGAGCUGCCAGGCACAGGGUCUCGUGCUGCUGGGCCUGCAGCUCUGCCCGGCAAAUGCUGAGGGGGCGGCUGAGCGGUGCCAGUGGAACACAGGGACACAGCACAUGUGCACAAACAUGCACACGUGCCAAUUUGCUCUUCUACCCCGUGGUUUAACAGGAGAAAAAGGAAAGUCUUCCUCUCUUUCCUGAUUCCCCCCAUCAACCGGUGUAUUUUCUUUCCUUCGCUUUUGAUUAAAGUCAGGAUGUUGCAAUGGACGCGUACUGCACUCCCUGCCCAGACUAAUUAGUGAAUGCUGCGUAACGCUGGACGUUAAUUUGUGCUGGAGAACAGGCACACGGCAUUUGCAGGGUAUGCUGUUCACACUGCACCUACUGAGCAAAAUGCCAGAUAAUCUUCCAGUUAAUCCCAGUGUGUUGCUUGCAAUGGAGUGUUGAUCGUUAUUAUCGCCCUUUCCAGCUGGAAGCCAGUUCUAGGCUGGGUAUUUUCAGUUGCUCUUUGAGAGCCAUUUUCAAAACAGAAAGAUUUAUGCUUUGGAAAAUUGUGCAGCCCUUCAUCUGAGUUGCUGAAACAUCUUUCCAAGACAACUGUUGUAUGACUACGGCUGUAACUCCCACCAGAGAUUAUCUUAUCACACUAAUGCAUCGUUAAAGUAGGAAGACAAAAAGGAGUUUUUCUUUCUCCUUGGCAGUGACAUCCUACCUGAAGUCUCCAAGGAUGAUUGUGGGGAAAGGUUUGUGUUACAAGCUGAAAAUACUUUUCCUGAUGUCUGAAGCAUUUGAAUCAGCUGUCUUCCUACCACACGCGCUGACAGCUUUCCUCUCGGUGCUUUCAAGCCUCAAAAAACCCCAGCAGGAUCUCAGAUCAGCCUCACUGAGAACCUCAUCAAUGACAACUGUGACAACAUCAACCAAGGGACAUCAACAAGGACAGAAAGAGGCAGAAGAACAAGAGGCAGUUUUAUCACCCCAGCUAAUUGGAGCUGCAUGUCUGGAAGUGCCCGGCCUUGGUGUGUUCCCAUGUUGUGUGUCCCACUGGGGCAGGAACCCAGCUGGAACCCGAGGGAAGAGGACACCUCCGAGCUGAGGAGGUUUCAGCAACUUAAGAAAGGUACUGGAAUUACUGGAGCUCUCCACAUCCCAAUGAGAACCCCUUGUGUCUGUGUCUAAACUCCAGGAAUUAUUGUAAGUCCUGUAUGCUCUAUGGGUCAGGCUUGGGCCAGCCAAGGGCCACAGAAAGCUCUUCUGUGACACAUGAUGUUGUGUGGCUGCAAUGUGACAUUAACCUCAGGUCAUUACUGUCCUCUGUAUCUUGUUCUACUCUUCUGUGGUGCCUACUGAUGAGACUUUGCACUAUUGUAACACAGUCCCUUGAGUGAGAACAACCAUCAUCAGCUAGGGUGAAGCAUCCCCAUUCAGCUGGGGUUUCCACCUUUCCCCCACAAAUCUUAAGCUAGACAUUAAAUGAGGCUUUAAAAUAUGUUACAAUAAAUACCGAACAGGCACGCACACACAAAGCUGCAGUAAUAAAAGAAAGGACUUACAGAGCAUGUUCAUGGUUAGACAGGAGCUGGUCUGCUGCAGAAGAGCAGGAGGAGCUUGGAGACAGAGGAACAGCCACUUUUAGUGCAGAAAGGAGGAAAGACAGACACAGUGAGGGAGUGAGGAGAGAAAGGGAAAAACACAGAGACAGUUAAUAGGAAGAUGCUUCCCAGCCAGCCUGACAGUAAACACUGAGAAAUUAUAUUUCAAUAAUGCCAAAGUUAGAGCUACAUCCCCAAACCUCCCACCAAAGGGGAAACUUAUUCUCACAGUAGUGGGGGGAACUAACUGGGUUAGAACUGUAAAAGCCAUAAGCUGGGAUCCUUUUUUCAUAAAUCAUCAUUUUGGUAAUCCUUCAGCUUUUAAUAUCUUUUUUCUGGCUCACUGAUAUGAUUUUAGGCAGGAAUGUUCUUCUAAGCCCAUUUUGCAAAAGCUCUUCAGUAUGGCUCUAAGAGGGGAUUUGGUAGCUAAAUUGUCUUUCUUUUCCUAAUUUCCCAAGCACCACCAACCCAUUUGGUCUGAUUGAAGAGCCUCUUUUGAAGAAACCACCCAUAUAUCUUAAACAAAAGUCUAGGGAGUAGUAACUAAGUCACUUAAUUUCUACCCAUGACAAGUUGGUAUGUUCACUGCCAAGAAAUGUGAUUUAUGAGGCAAUGUAGACCUGCUAUAGAUCCCUGGCUGGUGAUCCUUGAGCCUUUUGACACCUCUAGUGUGUUGGAAAUGUCAGUCUGCUUUUCUUAAGUACGGAUGCAGGAGUAAUUACUGAGCUCCUUCAUUUUGUCAGAUGGCAGUAUAGGAAUACAGUGCUUACUAUUUAAUUGUUAGUGAGGUUCUAACUACACGUGGCUGCUCACCAGCACCCUGUGCUGGCUUUACAAAUACCCUGCUGUUGGUGGAGAGCGAGGUACUGCUGGUCUCCCACCAACCCUCCAAGUGUAAUGGACAAUCACCAGUGCCUCUGAACGCAGUUAUCAGCUCUACCUCCCGUUCCCAGUCUUGCAUUUUCCUUCUGACCAGUCAACAAGAGCCUCAUAAAGUGUGAAUGGAGCAGAAAAAUGUCCUGUAUAAGCAGCAGCAGUUCUUCUUAGACCUUUUCAUAAAUGGUGGUUUCCUUGGAUUUUAUUGCCCCCCCCGCCUCAAUCAGCAAGGUGCUUGGAGAUAUACAGGCAGCCCUUGGUCCUUGUUGUAGAUGUUGAUGUCGCUGUUCUGUUCACCUGGGCUGUUCUGGGGAUAAAAACCACGCUAUUGCCUGUGUGUCGCACAGGACCUUGCUAAAUGUUUCACCCUUGGGGAGGGGGAAAAUUUAAUCUUUAAUUUCUUAAGAUAUAAUAAAAGAAAAGCCAUGCUGCAGUUGAUAAUUUUCUCUAUUGAACACCUACCCCUCACCGCUAGAAGUUUGUGCCCUAUUUUCAGAACAAAGGUUCUGGUUUCAGUUUUCGGUCGCAGGAUCCUCUUUGCUGUGGGAUGGGCAGGACGGCUCGGGAGCACCGCAGCCCUGCUGCUCCGCCACUCAUUGCGCCGACAGUAAGAAGCCCCAGGUAAGCACACAUCAUUUCACAGCCACAUCUCCCAAGGCAAGCCCACGCACAUAAAGGAAGGAGAUUUUUAAGGAAGUAAAUUUAGCCUAUAGCUUAUUUUAAAGGAUUGCAAUGGGCUUGUUUUAAAACUUAUUAAGAACAAAGAGUCUUUCAAAAACAGAUAAAGAAACAAGGCAUAACUAAAGUGCAUCGUUUCCCUAAGUUCUUUGAGCUGGUUUUUUACAGACUCCUCUCUUGCAUCCUUUGUUUGUUUUGCUCCUGUGUAAGCACAGAAGCCGCACGGGGCUGUGUGUAUGUGUAUGUGUGUAACGCGGGAGCCCAGGAUGCUGAGGUGCAUGUGAUGGGGAGGUGGACGUGAUGCUCCUGUCGAACAAACGUCCCCAUCCUCUGCACCAACAGCGCUGGGUGCUGGGCUGUCGAUGGGAUGAAGAGCUCUUUGAAGAUCUGGUAACGCUUCUUGAGGUGUCACUGGUAAUAGCUUUCUUGCCUAUGAAGUAGUUGCUUUGUGCAGUUCUUUUCUCGAGUAUUUUAUCCAAGUGUUAAAAAGUGUUUUCAUUGCUAAUAAAUACUAACUACAGUGCUAUGGGAAUGUGUCAAAAAAGCAUGAUUGGGCAUGAAUCUCACUGAAUAAAUUAUAUGUGCCUUUAAUAUACUAAUGUAAAUUGUUACUGUUUCUGUGCACCACCACAGCUUACAGUGAUAAGAGUACUCAUACAUAACAUUAACGUAAGAUGCUACUGGCUUCUUGAUUUUUCUUUUCUUUGAGGCAAAUACUUGAGUUUGCCUGUUUGGCUACAAUUCCUGUAGCAAUGCUGCAUCCUUCCGUUCCUUCCACAGUGACAAAUCUGUAUCAUGUUUCUUCCACUUAAAAAAAGAGUGUGUACUACUGUGAUUUGCACUUAAACUGCUGUUAUGUGUCUUUCCAGAGGUGGUUCCAGUGGUGGAAAAAUCCACAGCCAGGACUUUGAGGCUAAAGGAAUUUCUGUUUCAUUUUGAGAGAGGAGUGCAAACCGCAGGCUGAUGCCCUUGCAAAGGCCAUGCCAAUGCUUGGCUGGUGCUACGGGCCAUGCAAGUACCUGCUGGUCUGCAGGUAUUGGCAAGUGAAUGCCCAGGCUAGUGACCCAUGAGCCAGUGUCCUCUGCAACUCCGAAUCCUCCUAGGAUGGAGUGAACUCACCAACAACACUCUUGCUAGCUUCAAGAGGAUCAACAACCGGCCUGGAAGAGCAUCUUUAUGAACUAGAGCAAAGUUAAUGAUCUUGAAAGCAAAUGCAUCCAGCUGCACUUGGAUUCAUAGCGGGGUGGCAUCACUUGCAGGUGGCCCAGGUGCCUGCUCGAGUCUCCGAGUCCAUUCCCGCUGCAUGCGUGCGUUCCAUGUCAGUAUUUAAGGAACAACAUCUAAUGAACACAGGCUUACACCUGACAUUCCCAGGUAACAAACAGAACGUUAGAGAAAAAGCUAAAUGCUCUUUAGUACCACGCGCCUCUUUAGUUACUGAGUGCUGCACUACGUUUGAUGGGCCUAUGGAAUAACACAAACCAACAGCCUAAUUAACACCCCUUCUGUUAAGUCUGCAAGAAAAUCUCUUUAAAGGCUGUUAGUGACAGUGACACUGAGUGUCAGACAGAAUCAAUGUGCUUCCUUGAGGGACACGAUUGACUCUGAAAGUACUGGCUCAGGCACUGCCAGUAAAGGUUUAGCAAAGCGAGAUGGUUCUUUUGACUUCAGUGAGGGAAAGCAGCAUCAGAGAGAAGGAGGAAUGCGGGAUGGACCUCAGCAAUGUUCCUCCUUUCCAGCACAGUGUUCAUGCAAGGAAAACUCAUACAGCUCAGCUGCAUCCCAAGGAUUGCUCUGUUGUGCAAAACUCAUUUCAAAACGUGCACCUGUAAUACAUCUGUCUCCUGGAAUUAAAUGUAAAGAAAGUCCAGGUGAAGACUCCAGGGUGGGAGUCCCUGACUCUGCUAUAUGUGGGAGCACACAAAUCUGAGCAGCAGUUCUGCUAGAGCUAACGUCUUCUUCCCCUGAUUAAAAAAAUAUCAGUGAUCUAUCUGCUAGUUAAGUCCUCACUCUAUUAACGGAUAAACUUUCAUUGCACAGGACCAAUAUAAAACUCUUGGAGCCGUCCUUUUGGAAGUCCCCACAUCUUCUGCAGCGUGAACGUAUCCACCCGUGCCCACGUCACUUCUCCGGGGCCAGAAUGCCUCUGCACUCGAGAGCUCACGUAUAAAUAUUUUACACAGAAAUGCUGAAGCUCCCUUGGAUCCAAGCCUGUGACAUCUGUGGAGGAAGGAGCCCACCUCUUCAGGAUCAGAUGUUCAUGUUAUCACUCCCUCAGAAUGAUCUUUCCAAAAAAGAAAUGUGCAUUUCUCCUCGGAGUGGUGGCCAAGUCCUGCGGCGGGUUCAUCAGCUGCCACUGACACCAGGGCUAACAGCAGAGACCUCUUCAGCUUCCACAUGAUAUUAUUUCUUCUAAUCCAAACAAUGAGUCCUCUCAAAGCGCUUUGCUGGUGGUCUGGAGCAAACCCUGCCAGGGCGCAGUGACAACGUCCCAGCAUCGCUCAGAAAGAGCUGAGCUUGCCAUGGACAUCACUCCCUAUCCCUUCAAAUACCCCUCACACUUGGAUCCCUUGUGCUGUUCCUGCCCAUCUGCUGCCUCCGGUCUGUAAAAAGUUAAAUUAAUACAAAAACACAGGAAUUCCUAGAAAAGCUCCCUCUGGCUGCACAGCGCCAGCCUUUCCUUCUGGCAUCUCACAGUGCAAUUAAUUACACUUGAUGUGGAGUGGGCUCAUUACAUUUUCUAUGCUUCAGUGACCUCUUGGGAAGUUCAGAGGUUAUGAAUUUGAAGUAGUGUUUAUAGGUUAAAUUCAAACACGAAUUUGUGAAACAGAGGUUGGUUAACUUGCUUUGUACUAACUACUUAUGUUGACUUUGGGUAUAAGAUGAUACGGAUACAAACAUCAGGAGAAGAAUUUUUAGUAAAUGAAUUAACUGGAUGUAACAGGAGAAAUUAAAGAGGGACUUAUUUUUAAAGAAGAACCACAACUUAGAAAACACACAAUAGUGAAAGCUAUUAGAAAUCAUGAAAGUGCUCCCCGCAGAGGGUGAGGAAUCUGCUUUGUCUCUGGAAAUUCAAAACCAGACUCGGGACUGUGACACGUGUCAGUCACAGGUUCUCCCAGCCAGGAUUCACCAGGAUUCAUGAUAAGAUAUGACACUCUUCUGAUUGCAAAGCCUGCAAAACACAAAGGCUCAUAGUGAAAGCAGUCAUCAGAUUAUAGGAUUGCAGAUGGUUUGACAUCAGUAGUAAGAAAAUACAUCCAAGUUUAUCCCUGCAAUGUAAGAAAAAGACUUCAGCUAUUAAGGAGCUUGUACAUCUCAAAGGAGAGGACUACACUUUGCCAUCAGUAAGAGAAAGGCAACAUGUGUGGUUCAAUGAGCUCUUUAAGCAGGAGAAAUCAUGUAAUUAAUUUAAUCAGGAUUAAAUGAAGACAUAGGGUCAAAGGGAGAGGCCAGAAAAAUCCCCCAUUGAUGGGGCUGUGAUCAAUGAAGGCAUCGCAUGCCAGGUAUAAACCCCAUUGAUAAAGAUGCAACCGUAAAGUAAAACAUAGCAACAAGAACAAAGAUGAGUGGCAAAACUGCCUCCUGAAUUAUGGCUGCCUGAACUUUAACAUGGCUGUUUUGUCUGAUGGACGAUAGCAAUGCUGACGUUGCCUGUGACGGCCAAAGAGUAGGAAGAGUGAUGCAGAGGUAAGGACUGGAAAUCAUCAGCUAAUGCAGAAAUAGCCUUACUCAGCUAGAUGUAGUGGUUGAUGCAGCACUUGCAAGACAUUAUGUACUCCCAAAGGCACACAUAAAGAAAUAUUGUAUCCUUACUGGUGGCAAAACCAAAACAAAACCACAUCUGUAUCAAUUCAGGGGUCAGGCCAUUUAUUCAGGAUGCAAAUGCAUCCUGAGCUGCAGAUAUUAGCAACUAUAAUAUUUGCUAUGCCAGAUAAAUAAGAAUAAAAACCUCAGAAUGGCCAAUUUACUGUUUUGAAGCGCGCAGUUUAAGGUGUAAAGAUGCUUCCAGCUUACUAAGAACUGCAAUCGCAGGGGGAUGAGCGCUGCGGACAGGCCCGGCCGGUACCCGAGUGUGAUGGAGCACGUGAACCGGGCACCAGCAGCAUCAGAAAUACAGGAUCCAGAAAGCAGCAAAACAGUAAAAGGCAACCAAAUCACAGCAGAUGUACUGAAAGUCCCUGACACCUUCCUGGAGACACCAAGUUGCUGGCCAAAAUGUCUUGAGAAUAAGCGAGCUCUUCUCUCCCACCUGCACACCAAAAGCCUUAGAAGCAAUUUUAACUGGAGCAAUGGGGAAGCUUUUCCACAGCGAGUUUACAGAGAAAGAGGCGGCGCACACAAUGCUUAAACUAAAAUCUACAGCAAUCAGAAUGAGAGACGGAUAUUGAAAAGAGAAAAAGAGGUUAACCUAAAAUUAAAAUGCACUUAAACAAUUAGCUCUGAGUUUGAGAGAUGUCUGCUGCCACAAUGAAUAUCAGAAUAUAACAAUAAUUGCUUAGAUAUAUAUAUAUUAAUAG